GUGGGAGGCUGAGGUGGGAGAAUUGCUUGGGUCCAGGAGGUUGAGGCUGCAGUGAGCUGUGUUCACGCCUCUCCACCCUAGAGCAGGACCCUGUCUCAAAAACAAAACCAAACCACUAAAUGCUUCGUAAGGAAAUUUGAAAGUGAGGAAUAUAUCUUUUCUAUUUACCCACAAAUCUACCAUUUGAAGAGGGUGCCCUUCACCCCUUCUGGUACAUCCACGUUUCUAUCUGGUGUUGUGUUUCUUUUACCUGCAGAACUUCCUUUAAUAUUUCUUGCUGUGCGGGUCUGCUGGCAAUUAAUUCUCCCAGCUUUGGUUUUGUAUGAAAAAUGUGUUAGUGUGUCUUCUUUGAGGGAUAUUUUUGCCUGCUGUGGAAUUCUAGGUUGACAGUUUGUUUUGAUUUUUCUUUCAGCAUGUUGCAUCAUCUUUGGGCUUGCACACUCUCUGACAAGAAGUCGACUGGCACUGUUAUCUUUGAUUCUCUGAAUGUAAUAUGUUUCCCCCCUUCUAGCUGCUUUUAAGAUGUUUCUCUUUAUUGCUGGUUUUCAGCAAUUGAUUAUAAUGUGUCUUGGUGCGUUUUAUAAAUAUGUGUGUUUAGCCUACCUGGGGUUUAUGGAGCUUACAUCUGCAAGUUUAUGGUUUUCAUCAAAUUUGAAAAGUUGUAGGCCAUUACUUCAUCAGACUUUUUUUUGGUUAUCCCUUUCUCUCCUCUCUUUCUGGAACUCCAGUCACAUAGGUAAAGCCACUUAUUUCUCAGGCCAUUGAGGCUCUGUGCUCAUUUUCAUCACUUUUUCCUUUCUGUGCUUUAUUUUGGAUAGAUUCUAUUGCAGUUCUUCAAAUUCUCUAAUCUUUUUUUUUUUUUUUUUGAGAUGGAGUUCCACUCUUGUUGCCCAGGCUGGAGUGCAGUGGCGUGAUCUCAGCUCACAGCAACCUCCACCUCCUGGGAUCAAGCAGUUGUCCUGUCUCAGCCUCCCAAGUAGCUGGGAUUACAGGCGUGCACCACCAUGCUCGGCUAAUUUUGUAUUUUUAGUAGAGAUGGGGUUUCUCCAUGUUGGUCAGGCUGGUCUAGAACCCCUGAGCUCAGGCAAUCCGCCCCCAUCGGCCUCCGAAAGUGCUAGAAUUACAGGCCUGAGCCACUGUGCCUGGCUUUUUUUUUUUUUUUUUUGAGACAAAGUCUUACUCUGUUGCCCAGGCUGGAGUGCGGUGGCACAAUCUGAGCUCACUGCAACCUCUACCUCCCAGCUAUUCAGGAGGCUGAGGCAGGAGAAUCGCUUGAACCCGGGAAGCGGAGGUUGCAGUGAGUCGAGAUCGCGCCAUUGCACUCCAGCUUCAGCUUGGGACAGAGCGAGACUCUAUCUCAAAAAUAAAUAAAUAAAUAAAAUAAAAAAAUAACGAUAAGGUCUCACUUAGUCAUUCAGACUAGAGUGCAGUGACGACCAGGCUCAGUGUAGACUUAAACUUCUGGCCUCAAGUGAUCCUCCCACCUCAGCCUCUCAAGUUGCUGGGACUGUAGGCAGGCACCACCACACCCAUCUAAUUUUUUUAUUUUUCUGUAGAGACAGGGUCUGGCUAUGUUGACCAGGCUUAUCUCAAAGUCCCAGCCUCAAGUGAUCCUCCUGCCUCGGCCUCCCAGUGUGCUAGGAUUACAGGCAUGAGCUACUGUGCCUGGCCCAAAUUCCCUCAUCUUUUCUGCUGCCGGUGUCUAAUCUGUGUAAUCCCUUUCAGUAAAAUUUUUCUUUCAGAUAUGUGUAUAUCAUUCUCUAAAAGUUCUGUUCACUUCUUUUUAUAUCUUCUGUUCCUUUCAUUACGUUCAUGUUUUUCUUUAUACUCUUGAGCAUUCUGAAUGUAUUUAUAAUAGCUGUUUUCAUGUCCUUGUCUGCUAAUUCCGUCAUCAUCUAUGUCAAUUCUGGGUCUGUUUCAAUUGAGUGAUUUUUCUCUUGGUUAUAGGUCACAUUUUCCUGCACCUUUGUUUACCUGGUCCUUUUUUUUUGAGGCAAGAGUCUUGCUUUGUUGCCCAGGCCAGAGUGCAGUGGUGAUCUCGGUUCACUGCGACCUCCACCUCCUGGAUUCCAACGAUUCUCGUGCCUCAGCCUCCCAACUACUCAGGAAGCUGAGGCGGGAGAAUCACUUGAACCCGGGAGUGGCCAAGAUCACACCACUGCACUCCAGCCUGGGUGACAGAGUGAGACUCUGUCUCAAGAAAAAAAAAAAAAUUACAUAACAGACAUUGUUUACAUUGCUGAAUAUAUUUUUUUACAGAGUAUUUAUAAACUUUUUCUGGAAUCUAGUUAGGUUACUUGUGAAUUACUUUGAUACUUCUAGGCCUGUUUUUAAGCUUUUUUAGUGCAGCUUUAGCAUUGCCUUUAUUCUAGGGCUAACUUAAUCCUAUUUCUAGUAUGUUACACUUUUGGGUCUCUACUGAAUGUCUCAUGUAUUCAAUGAAAUCUUUCUACUCUGGCUGCAGGGAGCUCAAAAGACUCUCAGCCCUGUGUCAACUCUAAGAAUUGUUUUCUCCUUGAAAGUUGCUCUUGUCCAGCCCCACAGAGUUUCACCCCAUGCAUGCACAGAUUGAUAUUCAGCCAAAGACUCAAGGGGACCACCGGUUUCUGAAUCCUCCCUCUCUUUGCAGCUCCCUCCUCUCAGGCACUCUAUCCCCCAAAUUCCAGCCAUGUUGGCCUGCCUGAUCACCAGUCUCCGUCUCUGCAACUCAGCAGGAUUGCUGGGCUGUUUGGGCUUCCCUUCCUAUAAAUUAAAUCCAGCCAAGCAGCCUGGACAAUAAGACUCAUUUUGUUUCUCUUCUCAGGGAUCACAGUUCUAUGAUGUCUCUUGUCCUAUGUUUUAAAUAGUUUCCUGGCCGGGCGUGGUCGCUCACUCCUGUAAUCCCAGCACUUUGGGAGGCUGAGGCAGGUGGAUCACCUGAGGUCAGGAGUUCGAGACCAGCCUGGCCAACAUGGUGAAACCCCGUCUCUGCUAAAAAUACAAAAAUUAGCCGGGCGUGAUGGUGGGCACCUGUAAUCUCAGCUACUUGGGAGGCUGAGGCAGGAGAAUCACUUGAACCCCAAAGGUAGAGGUUGCAGUGAGCUGAGAUCGUGCCACUGCACUCCAUCCUGGCUGACAAAGCAAGAUCUGUCUC
This 3133-nucleotide long non-coding RNA is filed under the name Homo sapiens (human). RNAcentral describes it as "non-protein coding lnc-ATP1A3-1:1". Lineage: Eukaryota; Metazoa; Chordata; Mammalia; Primates; Hominidae. The record is from RNAcentral.